GCAACAGCAACAGCAACAUUAUCAGGCGGCACACAAAACGCUGAGCCAGCGUGUUGCCAGAUGGAAGAAGUCACCUCAGAGAUGUCAUCACUUAAUCCCGAAGCACUGGAGAUUUCUCCAGGCAGCGUUGUUGUUUCAGAGACUCUCAGUGCUGCCAAAUCACGCAAACCAGACAUGAAAAAGAGAGACACUCGACCGAGCCCAUUCAAAUUGCCGGACAGCAAUAGCAUGUUCCUGCUGAGUGUUAAUGAAAAAGCGAACCGAAAAGAGGAGAUGCGUAAAUUCCUGGCUUUGCCAAUUAAUGAGAAGACCACCCACACUGCUCGAAUGAUGGCCAAGUUGAGGAAAGAGCUGCAAGAACAAGUGGAGGAGGAGGAGGAGGAAGAGGAGGAGGGAGAAGAAGAAAGGGAGAAGAUAAAGAGUCUCAAACAAAACAGGAGUAAGACAGUUUUCCCUCAACAGACAUCCACCAGACAUGAGCUGAAGAUGGCCAUGAUGAAACGAGAAAACAUUGCAAAAGACAGCAAACAUGACUUGAUCUCCAUGGAACGGCAGAAAGCAGUAUUGGAGCUGUCUCUGGUGAUGAAAAGGUCAGAGAUUUUGAAGAUGGACAAAAUCAUUGCAAAGGAAGACAGACAGCUGAGGCAGCUGGCAGAGAACAUCGAGAGAGACAACCUGAAAUUUGAGGAGUUCCUCAGGGAGAACGAGAAGAAGUCUGUGGAGGCCAGAACAUUCUUUGAACAGGAGGCAAAGGCCAAACAGGAGAAGAAUGCUGAGAUCAAGAAACUGACUGCUGGAAUAGGAACCGUAACAAGUGAGAUUGCCAAGUUUGAAGAUAUCCUGAUAGACUACAAGAGGUACAAGGAGCUGCUGUUUGAGUUGUCUCCUCCAGAGUGGCAGGAGGCCCAGAAGACCAAAGCUCUGAAAAACAAGGAUCUGUCUGAAGGAGAAGCUCAGGAGAAGGACAGGGAGUUUGAGGAGUCAGCUGUUAGGAAGGGUUUGGAGAUGGAGGUGUACGGUCCAGGCCGAGAGCUGGCGUCCAUCACAGAGACCGGGAUGUCCUCAGCCAACAGCGACGCAGUGAUCACAAUUUCCAAACUGGAUAGUGGCCACUCAGAAUUUGAGGAGGAUCCGGAGCUGUACUUCUCUGACCCCCAGCAGCUGAUGAAUCUGGUGACGGAGCUGACGGAGCAGAUCUUGUCUCUGAUUCAGAACUCUACGAGGGUGGAGGAGACUCUGGAAAAACUCAAGCAGUCCAUGGACACGACCAGCAAGAAGAUUGAAAAGGACAAAGAGCAGCUGACCCUGCAGAUCAACGACAUGAAACAGAGAAUCGAUGUAGAGAAGGAAAGAGGCGCCAAGCUCGGACAGAAGGUUGAGCUCCAUGUGAUUCUGAAGACAGAAGACCAGGACGUCGUGUUGGAUGAUCUGGGGGACAAGGUGGACGAGGUCCAUCGCUGCUGCGUGGACGACAGAAUCACCAACCUUAGCACCUUGGAGAAGCUGGCCAAUAUCGAGUACCGCAUAGCUUUACUGCUGCAGAGCCUCGAGAGCAUCCCUGAGGACAGCUUAGAGAUGAUGAAGAAGAUCAAGGGCAGUGAGAGAAGGAGCAGGCAGCGUGAAGAAAAGCUGAGAGAGCAGAGAGAGAAACAGCAGGAGAGGAUGAGGAGGUACCUGGAGAGAUCUCUGGCUGACUCCAAGAAAAUAACUGGGAGAAAGCUCGUGCCCAGAUGCAAACCUGUUGCCCAGAAAGUCAGAGUCAGCAAUGUGGACAACACGCCUGCUGAAGACGAGCUGUAUGCCUACCUCUUCAGCCCCGAUGACAUAGACUAGACUCGAGGAAACAAAUCUAAGCUAUAAUCCAUCCAACACAACAGUUGAGGAGUGAAAAUAUUUCACAAUAUAAUCAUAAUUACUUGCCUACACCACAUCAUGACAUAAAACCAGAUAGAUUUCAUUAAUCAUUAGCUGAAAUGUUAACACAACAUUAUCAUGCAUUAUAGUGUGACUCGAGCAAUGAAGUUUAUGUGUAAGAGAAUCAUGUAAAGAAUAAUAAGUCUGAUUGCAAUGAGUGCCUGGUUGUAUAACUGUUGUGAAAUAGAACAUUUUAGAUAAUUUAAACCAUAUACAUAAUCAUUUAUAAAGCAUGCUUUCCUACUACAAAUCUGUUACUGACUUUAUAGGAAAGACUUUGUCACUUCCUAAAUUCAAUCUCGACACAUUUGUAAGACAAUUUAGGAUGUUACAUUUUCCCUAUAAAAUAA
Molecule: RNA transcript, 2264 nt
Organism: Trematomus bernacchii (emerald rockcod)
Lineage: Eukaryota; Metazoa; Chordata; Actinopteri; Perciformes; Nototheniidae
Gene name: cilia- and flagella-associated protein 100-like
Exons: 17
Source: RefSeq, a predicted model, not a curated record